RNAcentral lists this ribosomal RNA (435 nucleotides) under Triticum aestivum (bread wheat). RNAcentral describes it as "partial small subunit ribosomal RNA". The record is from RNAcentral. Lineage: Eukaryota; Viridiplantae; Streptophyta; Magnoliopsida; Poales; Poaceae.
ACAUUUAAAGUGUGGCUGCAAAUCUGGGAUGCAGGAGGUGAAAAUUCAUUGUCUAAUUUGUUUCUCAGUUUCCUCUUUCAGAAACAAGAGAUUUUUCAAGACCUUGCUCCACUGCUGUGGCACUCCUUUGGCACUGUUGCUGCACUGCUCCAGGAGAUUGUGUCAAUUUACCCUUCACUUUCACCUCCUACUUUGUCGCCAGUUGCAUCAAACCGUGUCUGCAAUGCACUUGCACUUCUUCAGUGUGUUGCUUCACACCCUGAGACCAGGAUCCCGUUCUUGAAUGCUCACAUCCCACUAUACCUGUACCCGUUCCUGAAUACUACCAGCAAGACAAGACCUUUUGAGUACUUGAGGCUUACCAGCUUGGGUGUUAUUGGUGCUCUUGUGAAGGAAUCUCAACAGGAACUGUUAUUUUUGAAGCAAACAGGCUAA